ACAUGGGCUAACACAUAUAUGACAGAACGGCUCCGUUCAUGGGCUAGCACAAAGCCCAAACGCUAGCAGCCUAGCACGGCCACUCAUUCACCCACACCCCAAAUCGCAAACGCAGGAAGGAAAUCCCCAAUCGGGCGCGGAAGCGAGGGCAACUGCGUAACCUAGCCGUCGCUGACUCGCCGCCAGAGAGCUCCGCCAGAUGCUAGUCUGCCUCACCCGCCGCCGGGCACCUGAUCCAGAUCCGAGCAAACCAAAAGACGCAGCACCCUGCGUGGGAGGAAGCAGCAGCAGCACCGGUACCGGCACGGCAUCGAGCUCGUGCAAAUGGCUGGCAGCUGCAGUUUGCAAAAUCAGCAAGCGCAGCCAGCAGGGAGUCUUCAAAAGAAUGAAACCUGUUGCUGCAUAUUUUGGAACUCCCCACCAACUGUAUCAAGCGUCCCUUGAAGCCUCUGAUGCGAACAUUUUUCGAGUGCAUCUAGCUUUGUAUUUGAUUUUUUUGAGUAUUUGUUCAGCGUGCUUGCAUAUGUUCAUAAAAAAAUUAGACUUAAAUGUUUCGCCCCGGCUAA
Aegilops tauschii subsp. strangulata is the source of this 566-nucleotide non-coding RNA. Lineage: Eukaryota; Viridiplantae; Streptophyta; Magnoliopsida; Poales; Poaceae. The record is from RefSeq and is a predicted model, not a curated record.